This 1131-nucleotide long non-coding RNA is filed under the name Equus asinus (donkey). Its description in RNAcentral is "lncRNA (ENSEASG00005026241.1)". The record is from RNAcentral. Lineage: Eukaryota; Metazoa; Chordata; Mammalia; Perissodactyla; Equidae.
CUCAGCUUGGGUGUCACCUCCUCCAGGAAGCCCUCCUUGACCCCAGAGUGGCUCAAAUUCAAGGGCCCGACAAUAUCAAGUGCUGACGAGGACGUGGAGCAGCCGGGACUGUCACGCACUGCUGGGGGGAUGUCAGAUGCUCCGACUGCUGUGCGGCGAGUCCUACGUACGUGCCCCACGAGCCAGCAAGUCCACACGGACGGCUUUACCCAACGGUAAAAUUCGUGUAUUGAAGUCCUAACGCCCAUGACCUCAGAACGUGACCUUGUUUAGACAUAGGCCCUUUACAGAGGCAAUUAAGGUUAAGUGAGGUCAUUAGGGUCAGGGCCCUAACCCGAUGUGACUGGUGUCCUUAUGAGAAGAGGAGAUUAGCACACGGACAUGCACAGCAGGAAGACCAUGCGAGGACAAACGGAGAAGGCAGCCACCUACAAGCCAGGAGAGGGGCCUCAGAAGAAGCCAGCCCCACCGACACCUUGAUCCCAGACUUGCAGCCUCCAGAAGUGUGAGGAAAUGGAUUUCUGUUGUUUAAGCUCGUGGGGGUGGAGCGCUAUAGAAAUCCCAUGGAAGGGACACUAUACAAAACCGCAAAUGGACAGUCUGCCCCGUGCGCCGCAACGCGGAGUGACAAAAGCCAGACGGACGCCAAGGAGGGCAGACUGCGUGGCUCUAUCUACACGGAGUUCUAGGACAGGCGAAACCCACAUCUACUGUUCGAACUCAAGAGGGGGAUCAUCCAGGGGGCUAUGACUGGAAUGGGGCGUGAGGGAAGGUCCCAGGGGCUUGCAAUGUUCUGUUUCUUCCCCCCGGGGGCUGAUUACAUGGAACUUUACACUUGGGAUUUGUGGGGUUUACAGAAACAUCUCAGUUAUGGCUCAGUUUGAAGGAUUUCAUGAGGCUGGCUGGGUAGCAUAGUGGUUAAGUUCGUGCACUCUGCUUGGGCAGCCCAGGGUUCGCAGGUUCAGAUCCUGGACACGGACACACUCCCCCGCUCAUCAGGCCGUGCUGUCGCCGGGUCCCACAUACAAAAUAGAGGAAGAUGGGUACAGAUGUUAGCUCAGGGCCAAUCUUCCUCACCCAAAAAAAUAAUAAUAAUAAAAUGUUUUAAAGAAUUUUGGAAAUAAAAUGUGC